CCUGAAUGAAAUCCCAAAAGGAAAACUUCCAGGAAUAUUAUAACCAAAUUCCAGAGUUCCCAGCACCUGGUGAAUGGGGCUUUUCCAUGGACCUUGUUGUGCAACAGAAAGUGGGGACUGUCCCUGACCAUGUGGAUCUCCAUGAUUUACAGCCUGAAAGAAGAGAGUUGUUUUCAUGUGCACUGCUCUCUUUAAGAGGGAUUGAUUCAGAACAUUUUGUCAUAGGGCCUUUGGGAGGAAAAGAAAAGUGAGCAGAACUGAUUGAUGCAUUCAGGAAAUGGUGUGCAACCUGUAAGCCCUGUGGACCUCUUGCCUCCUGGAUGGGCCUAUGUCUUGACUUUUAAAGUUCACCUCUACUCUUGUGGUACAGGGGCCACGGUCCUAAGUUUCUUCAAUUGAGGAUCAAGAGCCUUGGGGACUUGUGCUUGCUUGUAGUGACUGGAUCUCCAAGCCUCCCAGGCCUGGGACUGGCCUGCUGAUUCAUGAGUCCUACCUUGGAACAUGAGGAGGGAAACAAAGUCAACACAAGAGUGGGAGACAAUCUUUCUGGGAACAGUCCAGUUACUAGAGGCUAACUCUCUGCGGAAGCACAUCUAAUCUCAGAACAUUGAACAAACAAAAUGCUGAUGGGUGGUGGCACAUGCUCUGAACACUCAGAGGAAAAGACACUCGUGGCAGAAGACACACUUUCUGGGAACAUUCUGGUGUAAGAGAGAAACUGGGAAGCCUUUGUGGGCAAAGAAAUCAGCCCGUAGGAGAAACAUAGGUGGGGUCUACAGUUCACCCAGUGUGGCCUGAGACCCCACCUUUGUUUCUCUGAAGAAAGGUUGGUUUCUUUGCUCAGGAAGGCUUCCCAGUCUCUCUCUUACACCACUUACUACAGGCUUGCUUUCUAUGAAAAAACAUCCAGCCUCAGAACACUCAGAGGAAAAGAUACUUGUGGCAGGAGACACUCUCUGGGAACAGUCCAGUUACUACAGGCUCACUCUCUGUGGAAGCACAUCUAGCCUCAGAAUACUCAGUGGAAGAAAUGCUUAUAGGUGGAGACACACUCUCUGAGAACAAUCUACUUACUACACGUUCCCCCUCUGUGGCAACACAUCGAGGGAAAACAGAGGCCAUAGAAGCAUUCCUGAUGAAAAGACAUGAGGCUUUGAUGCAAAGUGGGGUAAGGUUGUUAUCCAAGGGAUGGCUUGAGAGCUCUCCUGAGGAGACAGGGGCUCCCUGGCUCAGACCUUGGCAACCCCACUCCCUAGCUCCAAAAACUUUCUCAAGAAGAGAUCAGCCAAUACAAGACAAGGGCUUCCAGAGACUCUCUGCCUCAGUCUGUCCAGGGACCCAUUUUGGCAAAGUGUCCAGACCCGCCAAUCUUCAUUCCCGUCUUGCUUCUGGUUUCCAGACCUCCACACCAUGCUUCAGCUACAGGCUCACCCUGAAAAAUCCCGCAGCACCUUGAACUCACCCUGGCCAACCUGCAAUCUACUCCUUGCACCUGAAUUGCUUACACCAAAAGUGGUAGCAUUAGCAGGUUGGUUAUUAGUAUGUUCAUGGUCACUGGGGUAAUUCUGUACCCUGCUACUUUCUGGAGCAGUUCUGGGCAGGAGAAGAAUUGUAUUAGGAUUGGGUGCCCCUGCUAUGGAAGAAUACCCAUAGUCUUCUUCGCUGGACACAUCACACCUGGUGGUCAAAGCUGAUCAGAAAGUCUUGCUACCACCAGUGGACAGUCUCCUUUGCAAAUGCUUUGCUGAGAGAUGCACGUAUCUGCUCUCUCCACAUGCUCAUUAAAAAGUCCACCUUGCUCUCCUUUGGAGAAUAGGUGGUUGCUAAUAGUUCCCAGGCAAGACUGACCCCCUCCAUUCUCUGGGGCUAUUUUGUAAAGAGGAAAGGUGCCUAGUUUAUCAAUAACUGGGUAUGGGUCAGUUUUCCAUGGGCCACCUAACUUGGAAGUCCUUUGAAUACCAAGGUUUCUCAACAGAACUCUAUCUCCUGGUUAAAAGCUUUGACACUCUACUCCAGCAACAUCUGACUUUUGUAUUGGUCGCAGCUCUUCUGAGAUGAAGCCUUGGCUUGCUGGUAUGUGCCUUUCACUUUCCUCACCUCUGAAAUGUACCCAGUGUUAUUAGUGACCUCAUAUGCUUGAUCUAAGCUAUAACAAGUCAAUUAGUAGGCCUGCUUCUCCCGCAAACUUGAACAGUCACGGUCUAAUGCCUGCAAAUUCAUUCAUACCGGAAUUAUAUGCAUGUGCUAGAAAUGACACAUGUUGACUUGACUGGAUGUUUUCUUUAUGUCUCACACUUCCCAGUGUUCAUCAUGGUUGUUUGAAUUAGGGGUUGCAGGAGGCUGAGGACAAAUAGAAGACAAUUCAACAUGGAAUUUCCGAUGUGGAGCAUCCAUCUCCUCCCCAAACAACGCUCAGUCUUCUCCAGAGCUUUCUUGAGGAAAAGAGUUGGGCGCUCUCUCUCUCUCUCUCUCUCUCUCUCUCUCUCUCUCUCUCUCUCUCUCUCUCUCUCUCUCUCUCACACACACACACACACACACACACACACACACACACACACACACACACACAGACUUGCUGUGGUGCAAGCCUGGUAUCUGGCCAAAUUGGAAAGAAAAUAAACCCACAGCUAGCAAAUUAAGGGGGAGCAAGAAAAACAAAGUGUGUGGGAGGGACAGACUCCUGGGACACAGGGGCCUUAUAGUCAAGACACCACUGCUUCUGGAAUAACAACAGCCAGGCAAGGGAGUAGUCAUGUUUACGGCAGGGAAAUCCAAGGUCACCUGGGGAGGGGGAAAGAUCAUUCUCUUGUAGCUUCUUGUUUUAGCUGAUGCUUCUCCUUAUUGCUGAGACUGCCAGCCCCAAGGUGUGGCAGAGGAGACCCAAUGAGGAGGCUGUUCCCAUGGAUGAGGUGAGAGUGUGGAGAGCCAUACUCUUCUGUGAGUAGAGAGAAAGGGAUACAUGGGAUGAAUAUUCAACAAGGAGAAAUGGCAAGAUUUAGCAGUUGGGUGAGGGAAAUGGAUCUGUCGAGGAUCACUCUGAGGUUAUGAAUUGAGUGCUUGGAAGAAUACAGCUAGCAGUCAGUUUCCAAAGGAUGAAAUCCAAACUAUCAAUAGCCAUAUGAAAAAAUGCAGCCAAAAUUAGAAUGAAAGCAGGAAAUGGGAAAUGUUUGAACAGCAAGCUUCUCAUAUAAAGAAUUUAUUUCUCAUAUAUAUAUAUAUAUAUGAAACUGAACUAAAUUUAUAAAAACAAGAGCUUUUCCCCCAAUUGUUAAAUCAUCAAAGGACAUGAACAGGCAGUUUUCAGAGAAUGUAAUCAAAGCUACAAUAGUCAUAUGAAAAUAUGCUCUAAAUCACGAGUCAUUAGAGAAACACAAAUUAAAACAACUCAGAGAUGCAAGCUAAUACUUAUCAGUUUGGCUAAUAUGAGAGAAAAGAAGAAAUGACAAAUGUUGGGAGGGAUGUGGGAAAAUUUAGACUCUAAUGCACUCUUUGUAGAGCUGUAAACUGUUUCCACCAUUCUGGAGAGCAAUUUGAAACUAUGCCUAAAGGACUAGAAAAGCAUGCAUGAUGUUUGACCUGGCAGUACCACUACUAGGUCUGUAUCCCAAGAGAUAAAAAACAAAAUCGAAAAGGACACCUAUAUACAUAGUUAUAGAGCUCUUGUAGUAGUGGAAAAGAAUUAGGAAUUGAGGAGAUGCCCCUAAGUUGGAGAACAGCUGAACAAGUUGUGGUAUAUGAUUGCAAUGGAAUGCUAUUGUGCUAUAAGAAAUGAUGAGCAGGAUGCUUUCAGGAA
Long non-coding RNA from Dromiciops gliroides (monito del monte), 3793 nucleotides. RefSeq lists it as uncharacterized. The record is from RefSeq and is a predicted model, not a curated record. The transcript is spliced from 7 exons. Lineage: Eukaryota; Metazoa; Chordata; Mammalia; Microbiotheria; Microbiotheriidae.